Myotis lucifugus (little brown bat) is the source of this 126-nucleotide small nucleolar RNA. Ensembl annotates it as small nucleolar RNA SNORA11. NCBI's taxonomy places the organism in Eukaryota, Metazoa, Chordata, Mammalia, Chiroptera, Vespertilionidae. The record is from Ensembl.
GGGGUGUGAUCAGAGCAGGGAGCCCGAGAAUGGCUCCUCUGUUUACAACACAUCCAACAGGAACGUGGGGUACCCCUCACGGGGGCAGGACCCUCUGGCCUUCCUGUCACAUGACACCCUGUAGAU